RNAcentral lists this ribosomal RNA (418 nucleotides) under Symploce pallens. RNAcentral's name for it is "partial 12S ribosomal RNA". Lineage: Eukaryota; Metazoa; Arthropoda; Insecta; Blattodea; Blattellidae. The record is from RNAcentral.
GGAUUAGAUACCCUAUUAUUUUAGAUGUAAAUUAUUAUAAACUUGAGUAGUAUUAGUUAUGAUCUUGAAACUUAAAGAAUUUGGCGGUAUUUUAGUCUAUUUAGAGGAAUCUGUCCCAUAAUCGAUAAUCCGCGUUGGACCUUUCUUAAUUUAUUUAAUAUGUAUACCGCCGUUGAUAAAAAUCUUUUUAGGGUAUGUGAUUUUUUUGAUAUUUAUUAUAUAAUCUUUCAGGUCAAGGUGCAGUUUAUAAUUAAGAGGUGAUGGAUUACAAUAUUUAUAUAUAUACGAAUUAUUAAUUGAAAUUUAUUAAUAUGAAGGUGGAUUUAAUAGUAAUAUUAUGUAGAUUAUUAAUAUGAUUAAAGCUCUAAAAUAUGCACACAUCGCCCGUCGCUCUCAUUAUUUUUAGGUGAGAUAAGUC